Molecule: ribosomal RNA, 121 nt
Filed under: Propithecus coquereli (Coquerel's sifaka)
Lineage: Eukaryota; Metazoa; Chordata; Mammalia; Primates; Indriidae
Source: RNAcentral
GUCUAUGGCCAUACCACCCGCCAAACGUGCCCAAUCUCGUCUAAUCUUGGAAGCUAAGCAGGGUGGGGCCUCUUUAGUACUUGGAUGGGAGACAGCCUGGGAAUACUGGAUGCUGUAGGCU